AUCUUCGGCAAUGGACGAAAGUCUGACCGAGCAACGCCGCGUGUGCGAUGAAGGCCUUCGGGUUGUAAAGCACUGUCGAGGGGAAACAAGCCGUAAGGUUGAGUGACCCCUGGAGGAAGCACAGGCUAAGUUCGUGCCAGCAGCCGCGGUAAGACGAACCGUGCAAACGUUAUUCGGAAUCACUGGGCUUAAAGGACGCGUAGGCGGGUGAUCAAGUCAAUGGUGUAAUCCUCCAGCUUAACUGGAGAAGUGCCUUUGAUACUGAUUGUCUAGAGGGAGGUAGGGGCAUGUGGAACUUCAGGUGGAGCGGUGAAAUGCGUAGAUAUCUGAAGGAACGCCAGUGGCGAAAGCGAUGUGCUGGACCUCUUCUGACGCUGAGGCGCGAAAGCUAGGGGAUCAAACGGGAUUAGAUACCCCGGUAGUCCUAGCCCUAAACUAUGGGUACUAGAUUGUGGACUUUCAUGGGUUCACAGUCGAAGCAAAAGUGUUAAGUACCCCGCCUGGGGAGUAUGGUCGCAAGGCUGAAACUCAAAGGAA
RNAcentral lists this ribosomal RNA (537 nucleotides) under uncultured bacterium. Its description in RNAcentral is "bacterial SSU rRNA". It matches the Rfam family "Bacterial small subunit ribosomal RNA", at positions 361 to 909 of the family's 1533-position model. The record is from RNAcentral.